Molecule: ribosomal RNA, 315 nt
Filed under: Triticum aestivum (bread wheat)
Lineage: Eukaryota; Viridiplantae; Streptophyta; Magnoliopsida; Poales; Poaceae
Description: partial small subunit ribosomal RNA
Source: RNAcentral
AUGACUCUUUCCCUGAUUCUUUUUUCAUUUUGGAAUCUAAAGGACAAUAAUUUUAUUAUUGACAUAUAUUUACUUGAUCUUGAACGAUCUGCUCUGCUGCACUUAUACAUAUAUGUGCAUUGGGUUCUGUUCAGAGAAGUUUGGAUCUAUACUUUUAUGAGCAGUCCACUACACGAUCUCUUCGUAUCUAUUAUUUGUCGAUCUACCAACAAUUUCUUAAUUAAAGAAGGAAGAAUGGAUGAAGCAGAAGAUUACUUAAGUUCAGUAAAGGCAUCCAAUACUGCCCCCUUGAUGGUCAGAAUCAUUGCCACAUGA